This 26-nucleotide non-coding RNA is filed under the name Mus musculus (house mouse). Lineage: Eukaryota; Metazoa; Chordata; Mammalia; Rodentia; Muridae. The record is from RNAcentral.
UGUGAUGGUCCUGUAUCCUCUGGGAA